AGUGAACGCUGGCGGUAUGCCUAACACAUGCAAGUCGAACGGCAGCACAGUAAGAGCUUGCUCGUACGGGUGGCGAGUGGCGGACGGGUGAGGAAGACAUCGGAAUCUACUUUUUCGUGGGUGAUAACGGAGGGAAACUUAGGCUAAUACGGCAUACGACCUACGGGAGAAAGCAGGGGAUCGUCGGACCUGGCGAGAUGGAAGGAGCCGAUGUCGGAUUAGCGAGUUGGCGGGGUAAAGGCCCACCAAGGCGACGAGCCGUAGCUGGUCUGAGAGGAUGAUCAGCCACGCUGGAACUGAGACACGGUCCAGCCUCCUGCGGGAGGCAGCAGUGGGGGAUACUGGACAGUGGGCGCAAUCCUGAUCCAGCCAUACCGCGUGGGUGCAGAAGGCCUUCGGGUUGUAUAGCCCUUUUGUUGGGCAAGAAAUGCAGCAGGUUAAUACCCCGCUGUUCUGACGGUACCCAACGAAUAAGCACCGGCUAACUUCGUG
This 492-nucleotide ribosomal RNA is filed under the name uncultured bacterium. Its description in RNAcentral is "partial 16S ribosomal RNA". It matches the Rfam family "Bacterial small subunit ribosomal RNA", at positions 29 to 507 of the family's 1533-position model. The record is from RNAcentral.